Molecule: ribosomal RNA, 793 nt
Filed under: uncultured archaeon
Lineage: Archaea
Description: bacterial SSU rRNA
Rfam family: Archaeal small subunit ribosomal RNA
Source: RNAcentral
ACGGCUCAGUAACACGUGGAUAACCUGCCCUUGGGUCUGGGAUAACCCCGGGAAACUGGGGAUAAUACCGGAUAACGCAUAUAUGCUGGAAUGCUUUAUGCGUAAAAUGGAUUCGUCUGCCCAAGGAUGGGUCUGCGGCCUAUCAGGUAGUAGUGGGUGUAAUGUACCUACUAGCCUACAACGGGUACGGGUUGUGAGAGCAAGAGCCCGGAGAUGGAUUCUGAGACAUGAAUCCAGGCCCUACGGGGCGCAGCAGGCGCGAAAACUUUACAAUGCGGGAAACCGUGAUAAGGGGACACCGAGUGCCAGCAUCAUAUGUUGGCUGUCCAGAUGUGUAAAAUACAUCUGUUAGCAAGGGCCGGGCAAGACCGGUGCCAGCCGCCGCGGUAACACCGGCGGCCCGAGUGGUGAUCGUGAUUAUUGGGUCUAAAGGGUCCGUAGCCGGCCGGAUAAGUCUCUUGGGAAAUCUGGCAGCUUAACUGUCAGGCUUUCAGGGGAUACUGUCUGGCUCGAGGCCGGGAGAGGUGAGAGGUACUUCAGGGGUAGGGGUGAAAUCUUGUAAUCCUUGAAGGACCACCAGUGGCGAAGGCGUCUCACCAGAACGGACCUGACGGCAAGGGACGAAAGCUAGGGGCACGAACCGGAUUAGAUACCCGGGUAGUCCUAGCCGUAAACGAUACUCGCUAGGUGUCGGCCACGGUGCGACCGUUGUCGGUGCCGUAGGGAAGCCGUGAAGCGAGCCACCUGGGAAGUACGGCCGCAAGGCUGAAACUUAAAGGAAUUGGCGGGGGAG